This 277-nucleotide unclassified non-coding RNA is filed under the name Ascomycota sp. Its description in RNAcentral is "partial contains small subunit ribosomal RNA, internal transcribed spacer 1, and 5.8S ribosomal RNA". The stretch from base 1 to 47 matches the Rfam family "Eukaryotic small subunit ribosomal RNA", at positions 1785 to 1831 of the family's 1831-position model. The record is from RNAcentral. Lineage: Eukaryota; Fungi; Ascomycota.
AAAGUCGUAACAAGGUUUCCGUAGGUGAACCUGCGGAAGGAUCAUUACAGUGCCUGCGGGGCGUCGGCUAACCACCGGCGCCGCCGCAACUGGCCACCCGUGUCUACCUUACCUCUGUUGCUUUGGCGGGCCCGUCCCCAGUGGACCGCCGGGGGAGCGUGCGUACGCGCCCCGGGCCAGCGCCCGCCAAGGGACCCUCAGAACUCCUGUGAAGCAGUGCCGUCUGAGUCGAUAUAUAAUCGAAAUAAAACUUUCAACAACGGAUCUCUUGGUUCCG